GCAGUCGUGGCCGAGUGGUUAAGGCGAUGGACUCGAAAUCCAUUGGGGUUUCCCCGCACAGGUUCGAAUCCUGUCCGCUGCG
RNAcentral lists this transfer RNA (82 nucleotides) under Ixodes scapularis (black-legged tick). RNAcentral's name for it is "tRNA-Ser". It matches the Rfam family "tRNA". Rfam says of the family: Transfer RNA (tRNA) molecules are approximately 80 nucleotides in length. The record is from RNAcentral. Lineage: Eukaryota; Metazoa; Arthropoda; Arachnida; Ixodida; Ixodidae.